AUUGAACGCUGGCGGCAGGCCUAACACAUGCAAGUCGAGCGGAUGAAGGGAGCUUGCUCCUGGAUUCAGCGGCGGACGGGUGAGUAAUGCCUAGGAAUCUGCCUGGUAGUGGGGGAUAACGUCCGGAAACGGGCGCUAAUACCGCAUACGCCCUGAGGGAGAAAGUGGGGGAUCUUCGGACCUCACGCUAUCAGAUGAGCCUAGGUCGGAUUAGCUAGUUGGUGGGGUAAAGGCCUACCAAGGCGACGAUCCGUAACUGGUCUGAGAGGAUGAUCAGUCACACUGGAACUGAGACACGGUCCAGACUCCUACGGGAGGCAGCAGUGGGGAAUAUUGGACAAUGGGCGAAAGCCUGAUCCAGCCAUGCCGCGUGUGUGAAGAAGGUCUUCGGAUUGUAAAGCACUUUAAGUUGGGAGGAAGGGCAGUAAGUUAAUACCUUGCUAUUUUGACGUUACCAACAGAAUAAGCACCGGCUAACUUCGUG
This 484-nucleotide ribosomal RNA is filed under the name uncultured bacterium. RNAcentral describes it as "partial 16S ribosomal RNA". It matches the Rfam family "Bacterial small subunit ribosomal RNA", at positions 30 to 507 of the family's 1533-position model. The record is from RNAcentral.